This 519-nucleotide ribosomal RNA is filed under the name uncultured eukaryote. Its description in RNAcentral is "SSU rRNA". It matches the Rfam family "Eukaryotic small subunit ribosomal RNA", at positions 1161 to 1704 of the family's 1831-position model. The record is from RNAcentral.
AGGGCACCACCAGGAGUGGAGCCUGCGGCUUAAUUUGACUCAACACGGGAAAACUCACCCGGCCCGGACACCGUAAGGAUUGACAGACUGAGAGCUCUUUCUUAAUUCGGUGGGUGGUGGUGCAUGACCGUCCUUAGUUGGUGGAGCGAUUUGUCUGGUUAAUUCCGAUAACGAACGAGACUCUGGCCUAUUAAAUAGACGGUAUAUCGAAAAGUAUAUCGCACUUCUUAGAGGGACAAGCGGCGUCUAGCCGCAUGAAAUAGAGCAAUAACAGGUCUGUGAUGCCCUUAGAUGUCCGGGGCUGCACGCGCGCUACACUGAAAGAAUCAGAGUGCGCUUUGCCUAGUUCGGAAGAACUGGGUAACCCAAGUAAAUUCUUUCGUGCUUGGGAUAGGGAAUUGCAAUUAUUUCCCUUAAACGAGGAAUUCCCAGUAAAUGCGGGUCAUAAGCUCGCGUUGAUUACGUCCCUGCCCUUUGUACACACCGCCCGUCGCUACUACCGAUUGGAUGACUUAGUGA